UUCGGAUUGGCGACUGCUGGCGGUUUUCCGCCGGCUGUCGCUGAGAAGUCAGUUAAACCCUCCCACCUAGAGGAAGGAGAAGUCGUAACAAGGUUUCCGUAGGUGAACCUGCGGAAGGAUCA
This 122-nucleotide ribosomal RNA is filed under the name [Myrmecia] bisecta. RNAcentral's name for it is "partial 18S ribosomal RNA". It matches the Rfam family "Eukaryotic small subunit ribosomal RNA", at positions 1709 to 1828 of the family's 1831-position model. Lineage: Eukaryota; Viridiplantae; Chlorophyta; Trebouxiophyceae; Trebouxiales; Trebouxiaceae. The record is from RNAcentral.